GCCGAGAGAAGCUGAAGGGAGCUUUCUGGUGACAGUUCGAUUUUGAACUCUUACUGUCAUGGAGGCGCUCUCUUCAGAUGAUCUUUG
Non-coding RNA from Caenorhabditis brenneri, 87 nucleotides. NCBI's taxonomy places the organism in Eukaryota, Metazoa, Nematoda, Chromadorea, Rhabditida, Rhabditidae. The record is from Rfam.